Molecule: long non-coding RNA, 468 nt
Filed under: Naja naja (Indian cobra)
Lineage: Eukaryota; Metazoa; Chordata; Lepidosauria; Squamata; Elapidae
Description: lncRNA (ENSNNAG00000010805.1)
Source: RNAcentral
CAGUGCUCUAUAGAGUUGUUUUGAGGGAAGGAGUUGAAACAGUUUAUGUUCGGGAUGCGAGGGGUCUGUAAAUAUUUUCGGGCAGUAUACAGGUCCUCGAUUGAAGGCAGUUGGCCAAGGCGAUGGAAAUUUCUUCGGAAAGGAGACAAUUUGCCAGCAUGAUGAACUGAUUUGAGGAAAAACCACAUCUAAAUACGCCGGACGCCACUUCAGCAUAUCCGUUCUCACCGUCUGGGCUCACAAAUGGGUGUCGCUGAGGGGAUAAUUUUCUUCUCCAUCUUGUGAAUAAAGCUAACUGCAGGCCCUCAAGCUGCGAUAUCUGCCUGUCAAACAGAAGGGAGAAAUCUUGGGUGGAGGCAAGAUGUUCAGUUUUUUUUAAGGAUUAGAAUAGAAUAAUAGAGUUGGAGGUCUUCUAGUCUCCUGCUCAAGCAGGAGACCUUGUAUCAUUUCAGAUGAAUGGUUGUCCAG